GACGAACGCUGGCGGCGUGCUUAACACAUGCAAGUCGAACGGAGAGGCCCUGCUUUUGUGGGGUGCUCGAGUGGCGAACGGGUGAGUAACACGUGAGUAACCUGCCCUUGACUUUGGGAUAACUUCAGGAAACUGGGGCUAAUACCGGAUAGGAGCUCCUGCUGCAUGGUGGGGGUUGGAAAGUUUCGGCGGUUGGGGAUGGACUCGCGGCUUAUCAGCUUGUUGGUGGGGUAGUGGCUUACCAAGGCUUUGACGGGUAGCCGGCCUGAGAGGGUGACCGGCAACAUGGGGACGGAGAUACGGCCAAGACUCCUACGGGAGGAAGCAGUGGGGAAUAUUGCACAAGGGGCGGAAGCCUGAUGCAGCAAGGCCGGGGGCGGAAGGACGGCCUUCGGGUUGUAAACCGCUUUGGCCUGGGACGAAGCGGGAGGGAGGGUAAUGGGGAAAGAAGAACGGGCUAAUUACGU
This 467-nucleotide ribosomal RNA is filed under the name uncultured bacterium. Its description in RNAcentral is "partial 16S ribosomal RNA". It matches the Rfam family "Bacterial small subunit ribosomal RNA", at positions 28 to 506 of the family's 1533-position model. The record is from RNAcentral.